CUGGGCUCUGGGGAGAGAGGACCUCCAGCGCCCAUCGUAGAGGAAGAGAUGAGCGGGGCCUGAGCACUGGUCGGGUCUUGGCCUCAGAUGCUCCUGCUCACCCUUCAGAUCUCUGUGCAGCUUGGUCUGUCCUGACCCGGAGCCUGCAUGGGGUCACUGCGUGCCACCACCUCUUCCAGGAAGCCCUGGCCUUCAUCUCUCUUUGGAACCCUGGUCAAGGUCAAUUUUAUAUUUACUGGCUUGAUGAGGGUCGGGUCUCCCCCACACACACACUCAGCUGGAAGCUCUCGUAACCUGGGUACCUCUGAAUGCAGAGAUUCUUGGAGCUUCGAGGGAAAGGGGUCCCAGAGGCAGCCCCAGCAGCUGUCCAGCCUGCUGAGCCCUGACCAGACCCAGCUCCACCCUUAGGGACAGAGGCUGGACUCCAAGGACUCCAAUCUCUUCCUGGCCAGGCUCAGCUUUCUCUGAAAACCCACUUACACAACCUGAGACUCUAAGAGAAUAUAGAAUGAGGAAACAGUGAGUACACAGGGCAGAGGAGCCCUGUAAGUUCAACUCCUGCAUUUUUAAAUGCUUUAGAAACCCACAUUUACACUCAGUGCAGGGAGCUUGGGGUGGUAAGCAACAGAGACCCAAGUGUCUCCCUUAAACACAAAAAGGAAUUGAUUGGGUCCGAGAAAUAGAAAGUCUUCAGGUAUGGCUAGAUCAAGGGGCUCAAGCGCUGACGGGCUUGUGCCUGUAUCCAUCUCUUUGCUCUGCCAUCUGCUGCGUUGGCGUCAUUUUGGAGGUUCUCCUGCUGGUGGAAGCCCAGGCCUACACCCUGCCACAGUUCAGUGCAAUGGAGAGAGAGCCCAUCCUAUCCGCCCGACCCCGGGGGCACAGACCCAUCUCAGAAACUACUGCUCUGGCUAGGGGGUGUUAUCCACUGAUUGGUGGGAGCGGGGUCACAAGCCUUAGGAGUACAGAGGGGUGUGACAGGGAGUGUAAAUUCCCAAAGGAAAACAGGGCUCUGUUCCCAGAGCCAGCAGGGAACGAGCUGAAUAAGGGGUCUGCGCCACCAGGACGUCACAGGCGUCGUGGCAGGUCUAGGGCACUGUUCCAAGCCCCAGCGUUUGUGGCAGACCCACCCUCCGGAACAUCCUGGCCCCCUUCCCAACUUCCACUCGCCAGCAACCUUGUCUCCGGAGCCUUCGGGCUUCAGCCUGCUCCGCCCACUUCUGCAUGCCCCGCCCACUUCCUCGGCG
Molecule: long non-coding RNA, 1244 nt
Filed under: Marmota monax (woodchuck)
Lineage: Eukaryota; Metazoa; Chordata; Mammalia; Rodentia; Sciuridae
Source: RNAcentral